CCGGAAUCCAUGCUGGAUAAGCAGUGUUGUACACCGUGCUCAAUGCUACAAGAAAAAGGCUAGGUCAGGCUUCGGCUGACCAAAAUUCAAAGCUGCUAUACCUCUGGCUGCAUGACUGUGUGGUCAGAGUGUAUGGUGAUCAUAGCAAUUGCAAGUAUUGGGCUCGAUAAAUCCUUUGAAGACGACUUAAUUGCAUCCGGGUAUUGUAAGUGUUGAGAGUAGGCUUAGUCUUACGAUCCACUGAGAUUCAUCCCGUGUUGCGCCGAUUUGU
Molecule: non-coding RNA, 271 nt
Organism: Perkinsus marinus ATCC 50983
Lineage: Eukaryota; Perkinsozoa; Perkinsida; Perkinsidae
Source: Rfam